AUGCAAAGGCAUAGCAAACUAUGUGUCUCCACAUCCAACCCUAUGUUCGGACUCCAAGAUUGGGCAAACCUUCCGAAGGAUCUGCUACAAUCAAUUUUCUCUCACUUAGGCUCAAUCUGUGACCUUCUCGCCUUUGUUGCAACCUGCCGUUCUUGGCGGGUUGCAUUAACUUCAUACUCAUCCAAAUCCACCUUAUGCACUUUAUUCCCGCCUCUCCUCAUCCAACCCAAUAUUCGUGUCCAUGUUCGUCGUCCUCCAUGUAACAAUGGUCAUCGCAACUUACAGGCAUAUAAAGUUAUCGAUCCAGCCAAGCAAAGUGCCACCGGCCUUCACUGUCAUAUUGAUGAAGAAAUUUUGCAGACGAUGCGUUGUGCUGGCCCUUCAUAUGGUCAACUCAUCUUCUACAACCGUGGACAUUGCGUUGUUGUUGAUCCUUUUAGAGGUACCAAGGCCCAUUACGUGAUGACUAUAGAAAGCUCAACUGGUCUGAUAUUCCAUUCAAACAAAAAAUCAUGGAGCUUCAAUAACUAG
RNAcentral lists this ribosomal RNA (531 nucleotides) under Triticum aestivum (bread wheat). RNAcentral describes it as "partial small subunit ribosomal RNA". The record is from RNAcentral. Lineage: Eukaryota; Viridiplantae; Streptophyta; Magnoliopsida; Poales; Poaceae.